Molecule: long non-coding RNA, 507 nt
Organism: Leptinotarsa decemlineata (Colorado potato beetle)
Lineage: Eukaryota; Metazoa; Arthropoda; Insecta; Coleoptera; Chrysomelidae
Source: RefSeq, a predicted model, not a curated record
AUUUUCAAAUAAAAUCCAUAAAUCGGUAAAUCCCCGAAUUGAAAAUAAGUGAAUCCCCGGAGAAAAAAAUAUUAAUAGAUCGCGAGCUGGAAUUCAUUCGAAUUAGACAGCAUUUUACGAAAGUAGGGCGUGCGACUGAAUCGAUAAAUUGUUUUAAUUUAAAAGUGAGUGCACUGAACCAAAAAGAAUUAAGGGGAAACAUAGAGCUCAGCAAUUUAAAAAGUCAUGGAUUGAAUUGCCUGAAUAUAAAUCUUGGAUUCAUUCUGUACCUGAAAAUCCAUAUAAAGGAAGACGUACUAUAUCAGAAAAAGCAGUAAUUUCUAAAAUAGAUACAGUUUUUAGAAAUUUUUAUAGGGAAUUUCUACUUUGUUACAUGCAGCGACAAUAUGUAAAUACGACCCGACUAUCAGUAAUUGAUCCGGCAAACCAAACUUUCUUUUUACCAACAAAUCAAAUGUAUCUCGGAGUAGAGAUUUUUAAUGAAAUAAAAAAGCCUGAAAUUUCUCA